GAGGACCCCGGGGUCCUGAUUAUUGGGGGGUCUUAAUACUAUGCAAUAGUUAAAACUUUCAACAACGGAUCUCUUGGUUCUGGCAUCCAUGAAAAACGCACCGAAAUGCGAUAAGUAAUGUGAAUUGCAGAAUUCAUGAAUCAUCAAUCUUUGAACGCACAUUGCGCCCCUUGGUAUUCCAGGGGCAUGCCUGUUCAGCGUCAUUACAACCCUCAAGCAUUGCUUGGUGUUGGGCUCCGCUGCUCACCCACCGGGCCUUAAAAUCAGUGGCGGUGCCGUCGGGCCCUGAGCGUAUAAAUCUCCUCUCUACAGGGACCCGGUGGACACUGGCCAUCAACCCCUCACUUUCUAAAUUUGACCUCGGAUAACGUAAGAUACCCGCUGAACGGGAGCAUAUCAGGAG
Molecule: ribosomal RNA, 403 nt
Filed under: Hyaloscyphaceae sp. 2 DL-2015
Lineage: Eukaryota; Fungi; Ascomycota; Leotiomycetes; Helotiales; Hyaloscyphaceae
Description: eukaryotic LSU rRNA
Rfam family: 5.8S ribosomal RNA (bases 54-203)
Source: RNAcentral